GACGAACGUUGGCGGCGUGCCUAAUACAUGCAAGUAGAACGCUGAAGAGAGGAGCUUGCUCUUCUUGGAUGAGUUGCGAACGGGUGAGUAACGCGUAGGUAACCUGCCUUGUAGCGGGGGAUAACUAUUGGAAACGAUAGCUAAUACCGCAUAACAAUGGAUGACACAUGUCAUUUAUUUGAAAGGGGCAAUUGCUUCACUACAAGAUGGACCUGCGUUGUAUUAGCUAGUAGGUGAGGUAAUGGCUCACCUAGGCGACGAUACAUAGCCGACCUGAGAGGGUGAUCGGCCACACUGGGACUGAGACAAGGCCCAAACUCCCACGGGAGGCAGCAGUAGGGAAUCUUCGGCAAAGGGGGGAAAGCUGACCGAGCAACGCCGCGUGAGUGAAGAAGGUUUUCGGAUCGUAAAGCUCUGUUGUAAGUGAAGAACGGGUGUGAGAGUGGAAAGUUCACACUGUGACGGUAGCUAACCAGAAAGGGACGGCUAACUACGUG
This 497-nucleotide ribosomal RNA is filed under the name uncultured bacterium. RNAcentral describes it as "partial 16S ribosomal RNA". It matches the Rfam family "Bacterial small subunit ribosomal RNA", at positions 28 to 507 of the family's 1533-position model. The record is from RNAcentral.